Mastomys coucha (southern multimammate mouse) is the source of this 608-nucleotide long non-coding RNA. RefSeq lists it as uncharacterized. The transcript is spliced from 3 exons. The record is from RefSeq and is a predicted model, not a curated record. NCBI's taxonomy places the organism in Eukaryota, Metazoa, Chordata, Mammalia, Rodentia, Muridae.
AAAGAAUAUGAAAACAGAAUACUUGCUACCGUACUAAAAUCUGGAAAGGAUAACUGACAAAACUUUUUGAGUUGUCUCCAGUGACAGAAAAAUGUGCGCAUAAGCAAGCUAAGGGAAUAAAGGUUCUGGCUCACCAUUUCAGAAGCUUCCCGCAAGGUCGACUGCUCCUAUUGCCUUGGGCCUGAAGCAAGACAGAAGCUCACCAGGUCAGGACUGACCGUGUGACACUGCCUACCCGGUGGCAGCCAGGAAGCAAGAAUGAAGAUGAGAGGUCACAAAGGCUGAUGGUGCAGACACAGAAGGACUGGGAGAUGGAAAUUGCAUAAUGGAGAGGACGGUAUGGUGGCAGCCAAAGCACCAAUUGAGCCAUCAUAUCUCCUGGGCACAAAGGAAAACAGAAAGGUGGAACUAGAAGUGGGCUGAGUCUUUAUGCUCUCAAGGUCCACUCCCUAUGACAUACUUCCUCCAACAAGGCUUCACCUCAGGAAGAUUCCAUAACCUCUCCCAAGUAGCUUCACCAGCAAGGAGCCAAGUGCUUGAACUCCCGAACCUGUAAGGGACAUUUUUCAUUCAAACUACCACAGUGAUACAUUAAACAUCAAAAGCAA